Molecule: ribosomal RNA, 382 nt
Filed under: Eburia sp. ARA-2018
Lineage: Eukaryota; Metazoa; Arthropoda; Insecta; Coleoptera; Cerambycidae
Description: partial 16S ribosomal RNA
Source: RNAcentral
UCGCCUGUUUUCAAAAACAUGGCCUGUUGAUUAUAAUUUUAGGUCUAGCCUGCCCACUGAGAAUUUAAAUGGCCGCGGUAUUUUGACCGUGCAAAGGUAGCAUAAUAAUUAGUUUUUUAAUUGAAAGCUGGAAUGAAUGGUUGGAUAAGAAAAUAACUGUCUCUUUUAAAUUUUUAUAGAAUUUUAUUUUUAAGUUAGAAAGCUUAAAUUUGGUUAAAAGACGAGAAGACCCUAUAGAGUUUUAUAAAAACUAGAAUUUUUUUCUUUUUAGUAUAUUUAGGUGAAAUUUUAUUUUUUAUUUGGUUGGGGUGAUUAAAAAAUUAAAUAAACUUUUUUUAUAAUUUUACACUAAUAAGUGAUUUUUGAUCCAAUUUUUGAUAAA